Brachypodium distachyon (stiff brome) is the source of this 3936-nucleotide long non-coding RNA. RefSeq lists it as uncharacterized. Lineage: Eukaryota; Viridiplantae; Streptophyta; Magnoliopsida; Poales; Poaceae. The transcript has 2 exons. The record is from RefSeq and is a predicted model, not a curated record.
ACCAACCAAACUAGAGCGCACGGAUCGGUGCUUUUCAUCUGGCAACCCCUGCCGUCCGCAGAUCACACCCCCAGGCCCCCCCUAUCUCGCCUCCCGUGCUCCGCUGCCCAGCCAUGAGCCAUAGCCGACGACAUGCUCUCCCGGUGGCCGCACCUCCUGCCGCUACACGACUUCGCCCAUCUGACCCCCGGUGGCCGCACCUCCUGCCGCUGCACGACUUCGCCCAUCUGACCCCCCUCUUCGUCGUCGUCACCCCCUACCCCUCCUCUCCGCCUUCCUCGCAUCCAGCCCUCUGGCCACCAGUAUUGGGAUAAUCAUCAAUUAAGAACAGUAGAACACAGAACAGACGCUCCUCCCUGCCGCGGCGGGGCUCGCCUCCUAGCCAUGGCGCAAGAACUUCUCCUUCGCGAGGCCCACCAUGCCAUGAUGCCGGCUCCCUCGCGCUGCUCAUGCAAGAACCCACCGCCGGCCCCUCAUAGCCAUGGCGCAAGAUCCCGGCCAUUCAGUUUGAGGCGGCGAUUCUGGUUCAGGGACUGUGAUUUGGGCUUCUCGUGGUGUUUGUUCGCCUUCUGUUGUCUUCGAUGGUGUUUUUGGUCCGGCGGUUGUUGGACUUUAUUUAUCCAUGGUUCUUGGAUUUUAGGCAUCGUCUCUGAUCUGACAGUAUCUGGCUGACUGGCUAUCCUUCAAAGAAAUUUUGUCACCAAUGACUUUAGAACUAGAUUGUGUUACUAGCUAGAUUAUAAUGAUACUUGUGUGCACAGUCCUGUGUUUGCAUUAAUGAUUCUGAGUACAGAUGAGCCACAAGAUGCUGGUGAUUUCUACCAUCUCUAUUGGUUUUGCUGCGUGUUCACCCCUCCCUCCUAUUGUAUAUUUAUGAAAUAUUGAAUUGAUUGAAAAUAUAAAAGUUAGGUGCUUUAGUUCUAAAGGUUGACUAUUAUUUUACCUCAGAUUGUUGUGUAGGAACUUGCAGAUUAAAAUAAGAGUUAAUCAUGUUUCCCAUUGCAAAUUAGAUGGGGAAAUAGCCAACUAUUUUAAUUUUCUGUUUGCAUUUGCAUACUUUUCCAUUGCAACCCAUAAAAGGAAAUAAGAGUUAAGUUUAUUUCCCAUAAUGGUCAAGUCUAAUACAUUAGUACUUGUUUACCUCCUUCCAUUUUUUUCUCCAUUGCAGAAUGAAAGAAACACUUUUGUGACCUUUGCAAAGUUUCCAUAUCAGUUACUCAAACUCAGAGUUGCAUUUCAGAGUUACACACACAUCCUUUUAGUAUUAAGCUGCAUCUUUUUUCCAUGCUAGCAUGUCUACUGCCUAAUUAGAACCUUCUAUGUGCAUCUGUGCUGUCACUAUUGUUACAUACUUAAAAGUUAGGUUCAUGUUAAUUCUAGCCGUGUUUCAUUUUGUUCAUUCUAGUCCUGUUCAGACUGAAGAAGAUAUAAUUGCCAGCAUCUGCGCUAUCAUUAUUGUCAUAUCCUUACGAAGUUAGAUUCUUGUUUUGUUGUGUAUUAUUUUGUUCAUUAUCGUCCUGUUUAAACUAAAGAAGAAAUAGCUGCCAGCUUGCUUUGAUUAUUUUGCAGGAAGCUAUUAGACCAAAGCUAUGUAGCAAACACAUCUGAAAGGCUGCAGGAGUUUAUUCUCAUACUGUUUUUGUGCAGCUCCGCAAAGUUCUUUGCGAGGCAUAAUUCUGUUAUUUGACUGACGUGAUUUCAUUUGCCCAUUUCAGCACUGUUGGCCACAAAGUGUUUGCAGUUAGGCCAGUUUUAGUAGGCCCGUUUAAAUCUAUUCUCGUGUCCUGUUUCAGCUUUAAUAGGUGUUAAACUUUAUGUUUUCCGGUCUUUGUUCUGCUGAAAUGAGAAGAGCUGGAGAUUGUUGAGCCUAUUGAACCUAAGCUGUACUUGUGCUCUCAUCAUUAUUGAUAAUCUUGCAAAGUUUUGUGAAGCUUCAUUCCAAGUUAUGGCAAAUAAUUAGUAAUUAAUUGUGCAGAUAGCAGCUCGUGAUUCCAAAGCUAGAUCACCAAGUGAUCUCACAAGUAGGUUUUUUUUAAUGUUGGGAAUUUUACUCUUAUUUCUUUUGUAUACAUAUUAUUGAAUGAGGCUAUAUAAUGUAUUGAACUCGUCCUUCAUGGUACUUGUGGAAUUUUGUAAUGGAAUAAAUAAGCAUAUAGCAGCUUGUAAAUUCAUGUUACUUGUAUGGAACAUGUAGCCAUAUUUUCAAAGCUAGGCACCUAGUUUCUCUAGCGUUGGAACUAGAACACCUAGUCUUUUGUAUGCUGUCGUUGAAUGUUUACUAGUAAAUUGUGUAUAUGGUUGAUUCUCAUGAUGCCUACAUAGAAUGGAACAUGUAACAAAAUUAGAUUAUUGCAGGCUGCUUUAAUAGUGAAACAAACAUAAAUAUAUGUUUUUGCCACUUUAAUUGAACGAUUUAAAUUUUGCUGAUGUGCCUAAGUAAUCAUGUUUGUUUUUAUAUGCCAAUUGAAAAUUAAUUUAGAUUAGCCAAAAGUAAGUUUGUUGGUGAUGGGAGAAUGAUUUAUUACCAAUCAGUAUAUAUGCUUAAUCAUCCGUACUUUUAGUAUUCAGAAUUCCCUUGUGCCAUGAUUUCACAUAUUGACCAAAAGCGAUGAGGUCAACUUGCACUUCGGCGACAUAUACAUGAGAUUGAUAGUCCAAUCUCUGGGCUUGUUGAUCGUUCGUGGCCCAGUAUUCAAAGUACCCUUUUGAGCGAGCACCCAAACUUCAUGGUCGGUCAAGAUACCGCUUUCCCUGCCAGGCUUGCUAAGGCGCUAAUUACUGAGUUCGACAAGUGACCAUCAUGCAUGGCCUCGAUAAGGUCAAUGGGGACUGAAAAUUAGUUUGCGGUGCAAGUGGUUGGAGCAAAACUAUAUCGUAUAUGUUAUUUAAGUAUUAAAUUAGUUAGUUUCAUUUGUUUAGUUUGUGGCUAUUGUAUAAAUUAUAUGAUGUCCAUGUAUUUGCUUUGGAUGCCCAACCUAAUGCCAAUUGGUUUGAAUUACCUUGAUGACAUAUUGUCGAGUUCCUACCCUACCACCUAUAUUUGCAUAUUGGAAGUGCUACUUGUGCACCUUUUUUCCAUCUGACCCAUCUUAUGUUAAGCUCUUAAACAUCAAAGUACCAAAUGACGGUUUCUAUAACAUGUCAAUGAGGGCAACUUAAACAUGUUUGUGCCUAAGUGGCCAACAAAGCUUGUGUUUUUCUCUUGUCAAGGCUACAUUAAUUCUUCUAUCGCACCAAUUGUAGGGGUCUCCCUUACAAUCUUUCCAUUAAAAAAAAAGGAAGCUUACAAUCCACCACUAUUGCACCUAAUUGUUGAAAAUAUUGUUAUGUCCAAUCUAUGAGGUGUCUUCAGAAAUGGUUUGAGUUCACAAUGUAAGAUGCCACCUCAGCAUCAUGGGACCCACAUGUCAGCAGCCAUGACAGACCUAAUACUUGACGGUGACGGCAUAUGUUGUCAUCUAAUAUAUUUGAUAAUGAAAGAUUUUCGUAUUUACGAUGACAGACACGUCCGUGAAGGAUACCCAUCUUAGAUGACAUAGUAUGGACCGUCAUCGAAGAUCAUUUGACAGUGACAAAAGAUUGUAUUCGGUCACUAUGAAAGAAUCUAUGACGGUGCUUCCAUGACGGAGCUCGUGAUGACACAUUUUUGUCACCUAAGUGUAAUAGGUGACGAAUAUGGCAUUUUAGGUGACAAAAGUGGUUUGUCAUUGAAUAGGAUUUUUCUUGUAGUGACACCGCAAAUUUUGAGUGUUGCAUCAUUUUGACAUCUUCAGGGUCUUUUUCAUCAGGUAAGACAAGUGGUUGGUUUGUUACCCUACAGUUAGCUAUUAACGUUAAUAGUCUUUAUUGUAUUUAGACUUAUUGUUAUCGGUCUAUAAGCUUAUGAGUGUAAAAACCAAAGCGAUUAUUAUAUAUACCACGAUCAUCUCUCUGUUA